RNAcentral lists this long non-coding RNA (4452 nucleotides) under Nicotiana tabacum (common tobacco). Its description in RNAcentral is "long non-coding RNA (NTAB_LNC002411)". Lineage: Eukaryota; Viridiplantae; Streptophyta; Magnoliopsida; Solanales; Solanaceae. The record is from RNAcentral.
GAAGGAAAGCGAAAGAAUUUGAAUUAAAUAAUUAUAUGAUUUUCAUUUUUCUAUAUCAAAAUCCUAAAUAUUGGGCAAAUAAUUAAAUGACUAUCCCUAAAUAUUAGGGAACUAAUUAGAAUGACUAUUCCUACAUAUUAGGAAAAUGACUAAAAUUACUACUUUAUUCAACAGAAAAAAUAUUUAUAAAGGGUAAAAAGGCGAACGAUAUAUAGCAUGCGUGUCGCGCCCCUUUUUUCCCUCUUUGCAUUGGGAGAUCGGGUUUAUGACAUUUUGGGUAUAGGACAACUCAUUCCUUUUGGAAACUAGGUUUGCAUUUGAAGAGUCGUCACCUAAUGAUUUAAGGUGCAUUAGGACACCUAUAAAGUUCAUUUCUAUGUUUGUUUGAUAACUAGAGAUAGGGUAAGAGCUUGAAAUUAUCCCAAGGGGAAGGUAUUAGGCACCCCUCAGAAUCCACUAGUGUGGUUCCCGGCCAGACAAUUUUGUGAAUUUGUACAAUUAGCAAAUAGACAAGUAUAGGCUCAAGUAGUAGGGAAAUUGGGUUUGAACACAUAAGAGUUUGAAAACAAUUAAAAGGCGAAUUUUGAAAAUGAGAUAUAGUUCUACAAAUACUUGAGAAUAUAGAAGGAAGGGGACUCCUAGGUUUAUUUAUAAUAUGCAUCACAUCAAUGCGAUACCCGGUAUGACACUCCUCAGAAGAGGGGAUACACGUGGUAUUAGCGCACCGGUCAUCAUAUCCACAUCUACUCUUUUCACCAUGUUAAGGUAUUAAAGCGCGGAUUGGUAUCGACCUCUAUUGCAUGCUAUUACCCGUCCCAUUCCUAUCAAUCCCGGAGGAAUUUAGGACUACUAUUCCUAUAAGAGAGGAUUUUAGGCUGACUCUUGGGUUUUUAAAGGUAAAAAGACUAAGGCGACAUUCAAAACACGUAAGACUGCAUAUUAGGGGAACAUAUAAACAGCUAAGAGGCUCAUAUAUACCUCCUCAAGCAAAGCACAUAAAUAGCAUGACUUAAACACAUUCAGGGUCAGAAUUUAAAGUACUAAGACAGGGGAGUUUUAGUUGCUGAAGCAAACCAGUUUAUUACAUAACUCAGAUAAGAAGUCCGAAUCAGGCAUUCCUGCUGGUUGUAGCGGUUACUAAUUAACAAAGGUGGAUUCAAUUUUGUUGUUAUCACCUAAGGCUUGCCUGAGUGUUUAUUAGUGAUAUCCUAUAAGCAUGAUAUCUAUUACUAAUUAGGAAAUGCAGUAAAGUAGUGACAGUUUUAAACGAGCGAUUUGGAUCUUAUAGGCAUGCUUUCUAAACCGUAUUAAUAAAAAGAGUAGGUUAUUUAAACUGAUUCAGAACAACACGAGUCGAACUGGUUUUAAUUAAACUGGUUGACAUGAGUAUCAAAGACUGAUUUUGGUCCUAUAAUCAUGGUAUCUAGUUGAACGUGAAAUGAAGCAGACAGGAUUUACAGCAAAAUUCCUAUAGGCAUGAUUUCUAUAAAAAUACUGAUUUUAAUCUUAUAGACAUGACAUCUAAUUUCAAAGAUGAUUUUAACCUUACAGACAUGACGACUGAUUAUAACCAUUUAGAUCAUAUAGGCAUGGUGUCUAAGUGUGGUAAUAGAACAUGCAGAGUUCAUUAGACAAAUCAUAUAGGCAUGUUCUCUAUCUGCGUGAAAGUGGAGCAUGCAGAACUUGAAUUAAAACAGAACAGAUCCUAUAGACAUAUUCUCUACCCUUUUAAUAGCAAAAUAUGCAUAAUUACCCAUCCUUUUUUUACUAACCAACUCCAAUGUUUGUUACAAAUUAUUAUAGACCAAACACUGAAUUACAUCAGAAAAGUGUAAAGUAAGAAGUUACAACCAUAGGAAGCCUGAUUCUUGACUUCCUCUCUGAGUUAUGGAAUAAACCACCUCAAGAGCCACUUGUUUCAAAGCCUUUCUCAUAUCUGGGUGUGUCAAAGUUCCCUAAGGGUCUUAAGGGACCCCGGGUUUGCAUAACCAGACAGAAAUGAGUACAGUGUGGAAGGGUCAGCCCUUAUGUGUCCAAGUUCAGAGGGAGCUCAAUGGUCCCAAGGCAAGGCUCACACAAGAGGGGUAGAACCUAGGUUCUAAGAAUAUAGUGAAAGUGCAGAAUACAAAGAUUUAUUUAAAACUGGGUUGAGAAUAGUAAGGGGUAAGGGUGAUUUGAAAACAGUAGUAGUAAAUCUUAAACUACAUAGAAUCAACAGUUGCACAAAGGGGUCAAGGGUUUUGGGAAUACAUUGCAUGAAGCAUAUGACCCCAGUAAGAGUCAGGUUUGGACAUGCACAACAGUAGAUGAUGCUGGCAUGCCCACAAACCAGCCAGAGAACAUAAACACAAAGAGGGGAUGUGGGGUUUGGGGAUUCACACACAUAGGAAAGCAUUAAUUUAAAAGGGGAAGGGAACACAUUUUAACAUGCUAGUAAUGUAACUUGACUGCAGAAACAUAAGCAGAAAUAGACAAAUAUGAGAGAAGUUGGAACAAUUAUAGAAAACAUGUUGUUGUUGAUGCUUGAAAAUUAACUAGGACAUACCAGCAAGAAGCAAACCGCAGAAAGGAAAGGUAAGCAAAUUUUCACAGCCUAGCCUUGGCUUUUAGCCGGCUAGACAAAGCAGUAGCACAAGUAGCAAUAGAAAAAGAGAGGUUUUGAGUGAAGUGUGUGUUCUUGAACUCAAAUUGUUCGUGUCUUUGAAAGAAAAGAGGGUGGGUAUUUAUAGUUUUGAAAACAGGUAAAGAGUAAGGUAAUAAGUAAAGUCUUAACACAAACAUGGAAACAAUCACAAGUCAGAAUCAAUUAACCCAAGUGAUUCCCCUUUAAUUAAGGAAUCACUGUUUAACGGAUAGCAGCAGGUCUAAUUAAGGAAAGAAAAUCAGUUUGAGGACAGAUUGAUUAUUGCCAUAAAAGGGAUAGUAAAAACAUGAAGUAAACAAUCAAGUCUAAGUACAAAUAUAUGCUUAUUUUUGAAAAGAUUCAGUAAGGUAAAUAUCACAGCAAAGGAAAGGAAUCAAUUAAUUUUAAAGAGGCAAGUGAAAUUAGGGGUCAUAAAAGAAAAGCUUUUGCAAUCAGUCACAAGACCAAGAUCAAUCAAGGAAGAAACACGAUUCUGCACUUCAGUAUAUAAAUAGAGUGAACAGAAGCAUCAGACAUGCGAGGCCAAAUACAUUGGCAAAAGAAACAACAUACAAUAGUAGCAGAAAUAAGCUGGGAUUCAGUAGUAAGAAAGAUAUUCGAAGCAUAGUAGUCAAGUAUGUCAGGUAGUCACAUAGAAUUAACAGUGAAGAAAUCAUAGCAACAGGUAAAGAGAAUCGAAAACAAGUAAAGGUCUCACAUCAUCAAGUGAGGAAAACCUUUUAAGAAAUUAGGGUUUCAACAAUAGUCGAGUUAAAAAGAUAGUAAAACUCAGAAUCAGAUAGGUCACAUAAAAGAAAAGAGAGUCUGAAACAAUAAUUGAGUCAAGUAUACUUUUAAACAAGUAGUCUCAUACCAAAAGACCUAGAGUUUUCCACAAUAAUCGAGUUCAAAAGAUGGUAAAAUUCAAAAUCAAAUUAGUCAAACAAGAACGAAGAACUUAAUUGAGCAAGUACAUAUUCAAACAUGCAGUUUCAGAACUCGGAUGAGACAAAAAGAAACUAGGGUUUUAACAUGUUGACUCAAGUAGAAGGAAAGCAUAACAAGUAGUUUGAACAUAGUAAAACCAUAAAACAACAUCAAGAAUCAGAAAAGAGAUUUUUUUAAAAGGGAGGUUAAGAGAAACCCUAAUCGGAGAAAAUGAAGGGUCGUUUUGAAAGAAAAGUUGAAGAACUUUCUAGAAAACACUUAAAACAUUCAUAACAAGUACAGAUCUAAAGUAGUUCUGAAAGAAAAAUUCAAAGAUCUUAAAGAUUAGGGUUUCGUAAGACCCAGAAAAGGUGAGAAAAACCUUGAAAGUUACCGAUCUAACCAGGAGAGUCAAGGAUCUGACUCGAACGGCCAUGGCUGGACAGAGAAAGGUCAUGGAUGACCGGAAAAGGGCCAUGAACAGAAGUCGAGCAAGGACUGGACCACAUUCCCUCGAGGUCUGGCUAUGAAACCACAGAAACAAACACCCAGGAGCCAUAGGAGGCCACUAGACAUCUCCAAUGACCAUGAGAGGUCAUAAAUUAGGCAGGGUUUAGGGUAGAUUAGGGUGGGAUUAGAUGGCGGCAACUAGGGUUCUUGAGAGAUUUCAGAGAGAGUUGAGAGAGAAAGGGAAUUCAAAGGCGGCGGGUGUAGAGAAAUGAUUUAGGUUUAGGGGUCGUUCAGAGUUAAAAAAGGUAAGGGGGAACGGUGGCCGUUGAUCUAAAUGAUCAACAGCUAGGAUUAAAGGGGUUAGGUGGGGAAUCCGGGUUGGGUCGCUUAAAUUGGGUUAGGGGUCGGGUUUGAUUUGCAAUUGGGCUGGGAAAUUGGGUCUGAUUUGGGGC